CAUUUAGUAUUGUAGCUUGGUCUGGAUUAUUUUACAACCCAAUGGGCCAAAUAGAACACCCGAAUGAAGCUUGUCAUCCUAAUCUAAGUCAUUAGUGAUUAAACAUAGUCCUUCUUCUUUAACCCAUGGAUGUGAUAAAGACUAGGCAAAAAGUACUUCAACAAGCACACAUAUGUCAUAUCGGUAAGCUAUUUCCCACUCAAGAUUAGUAGUUAUAUUAGUAGUCUUUCUUCACGGUUUGUGGUUGCACAACCACAUGCAUUUCUUCAUUGACAAUAACAUCACUCUAGGCACACUUGUGAAAACAACUUUAGAUCCGACUGUACUAACUUCAUACGUUCAUGGUGCAACAAAUAUAGAAGCUAGCAUAUCGCAGUAAUUGCUUGUGGUGAAUAAGUUGGUGCAUAAGAACUAAAGCACUAAAAAUCAAUGGUUAUAGUUCUUUCUUCAUUGGUAUCUUGCUUUAGUGGUGGUUGAGUAAAUGGGCAUUCAUUUCAAAUGGUUGCACCAUGUUAAUAAACAGUGAGUGCUCAGGAAAACAAAAGCAAUUUGACUUACUAGUUUCCAAUAACUUGUAUUCAUGUUUGUGAUUUUGUAUGAAGGUGGAGUGAAUACCACCAUGGGUAUGGACAACUUGAGGGGUGGAGGAGGGAUAAGUAAGAUAGUGAACAACAAAGUUGAGAAGGUUAAGUAGAACUUUCCUUUCUUUUACACCAUGCAUUUCCCCAAGUGUUGAGUGACAAUAUGAACAUAAAGGUGUUUAUUUUUCACCAUUUAAUGGACAAAUCAUAGAAUCAAGCAACAAAACUUUAAGAUUCUCACAUGAAACUCUUACCAUAUCCACGCAUAGACUAUGAGUUGGACUCAAGACACGAGGAGAAAGAGAUUGUGAUAAAAGAAAGUAAAACACUAUGUGAAAAAAAACCCAUACUCAUAUUGUUUUCAACUUCUCUUCUUCAUUUUGCAUCCUCACCUCUCGAUAAAACUUUCUUUAAUCCGCUUUGGAUAAGAACUGCCCUCAUUUGAACUCGCCAAAUAGAAAAGCUAAUUUUGUCAAACUUCUCAAUAUCAAAAUUUGUAGAUAUUUUAAAAUUCCCAAUUGUGCAAGAGCUUUGAUACAACUUGUUAGGGAUAGAGCGCUAAGCGGAAGCACAAUGUCAGAUCAAUCAAUUAGGAACAAAAGAGAAGCAAGUAAAAGAGCAAGAAAAUACCACACAAAAUUUAACGUGGUAAAAAAGACCAAUAAAUCACUUAAAGUUGUACUAUGUAAAAAAGAAGAGUACAAUAAAUCUUCUUAUAAUAAUGAGGAUAAAUGACAAUAUUUUGUCUCACAAAUACUCUCUCAAAUGGAAUAAGAAUUCUCACCGAAACAUACCCACAAAGUAUAUGUGUAUAUGAAGAAAAAGGAGGUGGUGUGUGUUGAUGAAUUUG
Molecule: long non-coding RNA, 1431 nt
Filed under: Lupinus angustifolius (narrow-leaved blue lupine)
Lineage: Eukaryota; Viridiplantae; Streptophyta; Magnoliopsida; Fabales; Fabaceae
Description: long non-coding RNA (LANG_LNC003414)
Source: RNAcentral